This 1227-nucleotide ribosomal RNA is filed under the name Penicillium sp. G324. Its description in RNAcentral is "eukaryotic LSU rRNA". The stretch from base 553 to 1227 matches the Rfam family "Eukaryotic large subunit ribosomal RNA", at positions 1 to 699 of the family's 3401-position model. The record is from RNAcentral. Lineage: Eukaryota; Fungi; Ascomycota; Eurotiomycetes; Eurotiales; Aspergillaceae.
GGAAGUAAAAGUCGUAACAAGGUUUCCGUWCGUGRAACUGCGGAAGAUCAUUACCGAGUGAGGGCCCUCCGGGUCCAACCUCCCACCCGUGUUUAUCGUACCUUGUUGCUUCGGCGGGCCCGCCGUCUGGCCGCCGGGGGGCUCUGCCCCCGGGCCCGCGCCCGCCGAAGACACCUGUGAACGCUGUCUGAAGCUUGCAGUCUGAGCGAAACGCAUAAUCAGUUAAAACUUUCAACAACGGAUCUCUUGGUUCCGGCAUCGAUGAAGAACGCAGCGAAAUGCGAUAAGUAAUGUGAAUUGCAGAAUUCAGUGAAUCAUCGAGUCUUUGAACGCACAUUGCGCCCCCUGGUAUUCCGGGGGGCAUGCCUGUCCGAGCGUCAUUGCUGCCCUCAAGCCCGGCUUGUGUGUUGGGCCGCCGUCCCCCGUCUCCCGGGGGACGGGCCCGAAAGGCAGCGGCGGCACCGCGUCCGGUCCUCGAGCGUAUGGGGCUUCGUCACCCGCUCUAGUAGGCCCGGCCGGUCGCCCGCCGACGACCAUCAUCCUUUCUCCAGGUGACCUCGAUCAGGUAGGAUACCCGCUGAACUUAAGCAUAUCAAUAAGCGGAGGAAAAGAAACCAACAGGGAUUGCCUCAGUAACGGCGAGUGAAGCGGCAAGAGCUCAAAUUUGAAAGCUGGCCCCUUCGGGGUCCGCGUUGUAAUUUGCAGAGGAUGCUUCGGGAGCGGCCCCCAUCUAAGUGCCCUGGAACGGGCCGUCAUAGAGGGUGAGAAUCCCGUCUGGGAUGGGGUGCCCGCGCCCGUGUGAAGCUCCUUCGACGAGUCGAGUUGUUUGGGAAUGCAGCUCUAAAUGGGUGGUAAAUUUCAUCUAAAGCUAAAUAUUGGCCGGAGACCGAUAGCGCACAAGUAGAGUGAUCGAAAGAUGAAAAGCACUUUGAAAAGAGAGUUAAAAAGCACGUGAAAUUGUUGAAAGGGAAGCGCUUGCGACCAGACUCGCCCGCGGGGUUCAGCCGGCAUUCGUGCCGGUGUACUUCCCCGCGGGCGGGCCAGCGUCGGUUUGGGCGGCCGGUCAAAGGCCCUCGGAAUGUAACGCCUCUCGGGGCGUCUUAUAGCCGAGGGUGCCAUGCGGCCAGCCCGGACCGAGGAACGCGCUUCGGCUCGGACGCUGGCAUAAUGGUCGUAAGCGACCCGUCUUGAACGGGACCAACCUACCUGGAUCCGAGGUCAACCUGG